AUUGAACGCUGGCGGCAGGCCUAACACAUGCAAGUCGAACGGUAGCACAGAGAGCUUGCUCUCGGGUGACGAGUGGCGGACGGGUGAGUAAUGUCUGGGAAACUGCCUGAUGGAGGGGAAUAACUACUGGAAACGGUAGCUAAUACCGCAUAACGUCGCAAGACCAAAGAGGGGGACCUUCGGGCCUCUUGCCAUCGGAUGUGCCCAGAUGGGAUUAGCUUGUUGGUGAGGUAAAGGCUCACCAAGGCGACGAUCCCUAGCUGGUCUGAGAGGAUGACCAGCCACACUGGAACUGAGACACGGUCCAGACUCCUACGGGAGGCAGCAGUGGGGAAUAUUGCACAAUGGGCGCAAGCCUGAUGCAGCCAUGCCGCGUGUGUGAAGAAGGCCUUCGGGUUGUAAAGCACUUUCAGCGGGGGGGAAGGCGGUGAGUUUAAUAAGCUCACCGAUUGACGUUACCCGCAGAAGAAGCACCGGCUAACUCCGUGCCAGCAGCCGCCGUAA
Molecule: ribosomal RNA, 504 nt
Filed under: uncultured bacterium
Lineage: Bacteria
Description: partial 16S ribosomal RNA
Rfam family: Bacterial small subunit ribosomal RNA
Source: RNAcentral